This 226-nucleotide unclassified non-coding RNA is filed under the name Hevea brasiliensis (rubber tree). The record is from RNAcentral. Lineage: Eukaryota; Viridiplantae; Streptophyta; Magnoliopsida; Malpighiales; Euphorbiaceae.
AGAGGAAUGGAAUGAUACGCUUGAUACGCCAGAUGUUGAUUAUUUAAAUGAUGCAUACCUCUCAAAACAUGAAAGUGCGAUUUUAGGCUGGCCAUUAUGGUUGACUACCUCAUCACUGGUUAGGCAAACAUGAGCUCGGUGUCUGCACCUCGGUCGUUGUUUGUAGUCAAUAGGUUGUCAGUGCAUGAAGGCAGCUGGAGGAAAAUUAUGGAACGGGAUUGCCAGG